GCAGCCAAAGUGGCACUAAUAGCCUCAGCCUCUGCAGCUGAUGCUUCAACCAAAUACUCCACACCUCUGCUCGUUCUCCUAGGUCCAGGGAGCAUGGCAUUUUCAGUGCUUAUAUCAGUGUACAUAUCACCAUUUAUAGGAGGAGCAACUGGAUUACCCAGUACAACCCCACCAUCAGGUACUGCUUCAGGCAUUGCUUGCCUAGUUUUUUCAUCGACAAAUCCAUAUCUUCCAG
Molecule: unclassified non-coding RNA, 235 nt
Filed under: Hevea brasiliensis (rubber tree)
Lineage: Eukaryota; Viridiplantae; Streptophyta; Magnoliopsida; Malpighiales; Euphorbiaceae
Source: RNAcentral